UACAGAGGUCCCAAGCGUUGUUCGGAUUCACUGGGCGUAAAGGGUGCGUAGGCGGUCGGGUAAGUCUGAUGUGAAAUCUCACAGCUUAACUGUGAAACUGCAUUGGAUACUAUUCGGCUUGAGAGUUGGAGGGGGGACUGGAAUUCUUGGUGUAGCAGUGAAAUGCGUAGAUAUCAAGAGGAACACCAGUGGCGAAGGCGAGUCCCUGGACAACUUCUGACGCUGAGGCACGAAAGCUAGGGGAGCAAAC
Molecule: ribosomal RNA, 250 nt
Filed under: uncultured bacterium
Lineage: Bacteria
Description: partial 16S ribosomal RNA
Rfam family: Bacterial small subunit ribosomal RNA
Source: RNAcentral